UGAGGAAUAUUGGACAAUGGGCGCAAGCCUGAUCCAGCCAUGCCGCGUGCAGGAAGAAGCAUCUAUGGUGUGUAGACUGCUUUUGUACGGGAAGAAACACUCCUUCGUGAAGGAGCUUGACGGUACCGUAAGAAUAAGGAUCGGCUCACUCCGUGCCAGCAGCCGCGGUAAUACGGAGGAUCCAAGCGCUAUCCGGAAUCAUUGGGUUUAAAGGGUCCGUAGGCGGUUUAGUAAGUCAGUGGUGAAAGCCCAUCGCUCAACGAUGGAACGGCCAUUGAUACUGCUAGACUUGAAUUAUUAGGAAGUAACUAGAAUAUGUGGUGUAGCGGUGAAAUGCUUAGAUAGUGCAUGGAAUACCAAUUGCGAAGGCAGGUUACUACUAAUGGAUUGACGCUGAUGGACGAAAGCGUGGGGAGCGAACA
This 422-nucleotide ribosomal RNA is filed under the name uncultured bacterium. Its description in RNAcentral is "bacterial SSU rRNA". It matches the Rfam family "Bacterial small subunit ribosomal RNA", at positions 355 to 774 of the family's 1533-position model. The record is from RNAcentral.